Peromyscus eremicus (cactus mouse) is the source of this 672-nucleotide long non-coding RNA. RefSeq lists it as uncharacterized. Lineage: Eukaryota; Metazoa; Chordata; Mammalia; Rodentia; Cricetidae. The transcript has 2 exons. The record is from RefSeq and is a predicted model, not a curated record.
CUCUGUGUAGCUCUGGUUGUCCUGGAACUUACUCUAUAGGCCAGACUGGCCUUGAACUCAGAGAUUCCUGCCUCUGGUGCACCACCACCUCUGGGCUCACUUCUUUUUGAGACAGGAUCUUUCCAUGAAGCCCGUACUGGUUCUCAGCUGACAGGUUUUUAGAGGCUGUCUGCUGUCUCCCAGGAUGAGGGGAGCUAGGGUACUGCAGGGACAGUGUGCCCCUUACCCCCGUACUGCCACUUUGGGACCAGGCCUCUGGCCUCCUGCAGGAGCCCCGCCCGCCACCGCCUCUGCGCUCAGUCCUAAACGGAGCAGCAGGUGUGAGAAGCUGCUCCCACCACCCAGGUGGGGGAGGGGUGGGAACCAAGAAAAGCCUCGAGUAAGACGCGAACUGAGGCCCUCGUGGGGAGGCCUCUCCGAGGGAGGCAGACGAGCAAGGAAACACCAAGGUUCAAAUGUGGGCACGUUUUCUACUUCAAGGAAGAAAAGAAGAAGAAGGGAGAUAAAUCGAAAGCUGCGCCCCGAGGUCUGACUUCCUUGCAAGGAGCUCGUGGAAGCGGACGCUACCCGACGUCAACAGACACCAGCCGUUAGGAAAAGGCAGUGGGUAGUGCAUGUGCCUUCCCUGGGCCUGCGACAAGGAUGAGAACGCUAUAAAAUACCUUAACUUGA